RNAcentral lists this ribosomal RNA (254 nucleotides) under uncultured bacterium. RNAcentral describes it as "partial 16S ribosomal RNA". It matches the Rfam family "Bacterial small subunit ribosomal RNA", at positions 524 to 776 of the family's 1533-position model. The record is from RNAcentral.
UACGUAGGGUGCGAGCGUUUGUCCGGAAUUAUUGGGCGUAAAGGGCUCGUAGGCGGUUUGUCGCGUCGGGAGUGAAAACCAGGUGCUUAACACCUGGCUUGCUUUCGAUACGGGCAGACUAGAGGUAUUCAGGGGAGAACGGAAUUCCGUGGUGUAGCGGUGAAAUGCGCAGAUAUCAGGAGGAACACCGGUGGCGAAGGCGGUUCUCUGGGAAUGACCUGACGCUGAGGAGCGAAGUGUGGGGAGCGAACAGG